AAGAGAAAACUGCCCUUUGGGUAGAUUUCCCACCCUUUGUUUACUUUACCUUUGUUGCUUUGGCAGGCCCGUCUUCUGACCACCGGCUUUUAGCUGGUCCGUGCCUGCCAGAGGACCCCCAACUCUUGAUUUCAAGUUGUCCGAGUCUUAUAUAAUAGUAA
This 161-nucleotide unclassified non-coding RNA is filed under the name uncultured Helotiales. RNAcentral's name for it is "sequence contains ITS1". Lineage: Eukaryota; Fungi; Ascomycota; Leotiomycetes; Helotiales. The record is from RNAcentral.